CCGGAAAACAAGUUCGAACUGGUCUUCGAUGGCAAGCGCGAUGGUCCCCAAUUGGACAGACUCUUUGCAAAGAAAGUUGAGGUUGAUUGGAACUUUGAUCUCGAGCACAUCU
RNAcentral lists this non-coding RNA (112 nucleotides) under Protocruzia adhaerens. The record is from RNAcentral. Lineage: Eukaryota; Ciliophora; Spirotrichea.